Molecule: ribosomal RNA, 691 nt
Filed under: Scardovia sp. sp3-iso-10_2
Lineage: Bacteria; Bacillati; Actinomycetota; Actinomycetes; Bifidobacteriales; Bifidobacteriaceae
Description: bacterial SSU rRNA
Rfam family: Bacterial small subunit ribosomal RNA
Source: RNAcentral
UUUUGUUUGGUGGUGAGAGUGGCGAACGGGUGAGUAAUGCGUGACUAACCUGCCGUAUGGUUGGGGAUAGCUCCUGGAAACGGGUGGUAAUACCCAAUGCUCCAGCUGGAUGCAUGUCUGGUUGGGAAAGCUGUUGUGCCAUAUGAUGGGGUCGCGUCCUAUCAGCUUGUUGGUGGGGUGAUGGCCUACCAAGGCGUCGACGGGUAGCCGGCCUAAGAGGGCGACCGGCCACAUUGGGACUGAGAUACGGCCCAGACUCCUACGGGAGGCAGCAGUGGGGAAUAUUGCACAAUGGGCGCAAGCCUGAUGCAGCGACGCCGCGUGCGGGAUGGAGGCCUUCGGGUUGUAAACCGCUUUUAUAGGGGGGCAAGCUAUGCCUGUGUGGUGUGGUGAGUGGACUUUAUGAAUAAGCACCGGCUAACUACGUGCCAGCAGCCGCGGUAAUACGUAGGGUGCAAGCGUUGUCCGGAUUUAUUGGGCGUAAAGGGCUCGUAGGCGGUUUGUUGCGUCUGGUGUGAAAGCUUACUGCUUAACGGUAGGUUGCGCUGGAUACGGGCAGGCUUGAGUGCAGUAGGGGAGACUGGAAUUCUCGGUGUAACGGUGGAAUGUGUAGAUAUCGGGAAGAACACCUAUGGCGAAGGCAGGUCUCUGGGCUGUUACUGACGCUGAGGAGCGAAAGCGUGGGGAGCGA